This 439-nucleotide ribosomal RNA is filed under the name uncultured Streptomyces sp. RNAcentral describes it as "bacterial SSU rRNA". It matches the Rfam family "Bacterial small subunit ribosomal RNA", at positions 338 to 789 of the family's 1533-position model. The record is from RNAcentral. Lineage: Bacteria; Bacillati; Actinomycetota; Actinomycetes; Kitasatosporales; Streptomycetaceae.
CCUACGGGGGGCAGCAGUGGGGAAUCUUGCGCAAUGGGCGAAAGCCUGACGCAGCGACACCGCGUGGGGGACGAAGGCCCUCGGGUUGUAAACCCCUUUCGACAGGGAAGAAGCGAUCGUGACGGUACCUGUAGAAGAAGCCCCGGCUAACUACGUGCCAGCAGCCGCGGUAAGACGUAGGGGGCGAGCGUUGUCCGGAUUCAUUGGGCGUAAAGCGCGCGUAGGCGGCUCGGUAAGUCGGUUGUGAAAUCCCGGGGCUCAACCCCGGGACUGCGUCCGAUACUGUCGAGCUAGAGGUAGGUAGGGGAGAUCGGAAUUCCUGGUGUAGCGGUGAAAUGCGCAGAUAUCAGGAGGAACACCGGUGGCGAAGGCGGAUCUCUGGGCCUGACCUGACGCUGAGGCGCGAAAGCUAGGGGAGCGAACAGGAUUAGAUACCCUU